RNAcentral lists this unclassified non-coding RNA (655 nucleotides) under Helichrysum erubescens. RNAcentral's name for it is "partial external transcribed spacer". Lineage: Eukaryota; Viridiplantae; Streptophyta; Magnoliopsida; Asterales; Asteraceae. The record is from RNAcentral.
GUUGCAUUGUUGUUGAUGACAUUCGUCCAAAGGUGACGUGGUGUCAUGUCGCUUCCGUAUCCUAGUUUUGAGCUUUUUGAGCUUAAAAACAUGGAUAAUCGCUUGGUGAUAGACAUCACUCCCUUGGUUGAUAAAAGUCGUCCAAUGAUGUGAUGGCUUGUUUCCUUUGUUCUCGCAUCGCUCGGUGCAUUCUGUGGUCAUUUUGGCUAUUAGCGGCUUGCUUGGCCAUUGGGCUUGGUGGGUGGCUAAUAGUUUGGGUGUCUUCGGGGAUGUCUACCGUAAAGGUGCAUGAGUGGUGUUUGGUUUGUUACGGGUGGUUGGCUCUUUGCUUGCGCAACAACUUCCACCUGGCAUACCUCUUCAGUCUUGUGUCAAUGCUUGUAUUGCAUUGAAUGCACGCCGGGUUUCUUGUGUUGCAUGCCUAAUCAAUGGUAUCGUUUGAUGAAUAGGUUUCCCUUUCGUCUUGCAUCGCCUAUGCGAUGUGAGAUGAACCUUGAAGCAGCCUUUUUGAUCUACACUUUUGAUGCAUACGCAUUGAUUUUGUGGCCCAUUAAGUGUUGCUUGGUCUCAUGGAUAUGGAACAUGGUGUGGGCAUGGAAUCGUAGUGGUUCCUUGUUUGCCCAAGUUUAGCUUAUCUAAAMCGAUUUGUCUAUCA